AGUCGUGCAUGCAGCCUGGUACAGCCGUUCCGAUCUAUUCUUUUACUUUCUUCUUCUUACUUUUUAAUUUACGUUAAAAGAUAAUGUAACACGGUAACACGUUUUUUUCUCACGGUAACACGUCGAAGCUGCACCCUCUCUAACAUGCUGGUAGAGAGAGUUUUAUUUGGGUUUUCUUUAGCGCUGGAAAUGGUUACAUGCCGACACGCGGGACAGAAGCAAGGUCACACUGUGUAUUUCACGGACCAGCAAAUCCCGGCCGGCUUAGCUAACAGAGCGGCGGACACCUCUGCUGAAAUCCGGAGGAAAACACACAGAGGAUGCAGAGGGGGAUCUCAAAGCCGAGGAAAGAGGACCGGGUCGAGACAAUAGAGACUUUUGGAGAAGAGGAGUUCGGUCGGUAAUACUGUUCCAGCUGACCGGAAGUGUACUGAGAGUGAAACUGUUGGAGCCUGCAACUUACAGUUUGAUCAAAUGAUCUAGUACUGUGCUGUCCCCAAAAGAAAUUUCAGGAGAGGACCGCGAGCGCAAGUUGUCUCGAGCAGGAGACCAGAGACGGGGUGCGGAGCCAUGAUUGACUCCACUUAUCGCUGAUUGAAAUGUUGUUGAAGAUUGAAACAUCGAGGCAAAUGCAGAGGAGGGCAGAUAAACUGAUCCCCAAAUUCCUGGACCUGGCAUCAGCAUUACCUUCUGCAACUGGAUCCUUCGCUUUCUGACCAAUAGACCAUCAGUAAAGGGGUUCUGUUUGGGAUCUGCAUGGAGGCAUGGUUUAUUUCCGGUCGAAAGCCGCAUCUAUCGUGCUGGUCACCGAUUGGUUCAUCUGAAGAUUGUGAUGCUCUUUUCCCACUGGUUGGCCUGUGCACCACAGCACCUAGUGUCCAGUUUCAAACACCUUGGGUGUAUAAAGAGUAACACGUAGCUAUCUGGAGAAGGUGGAUCUCAGAGAUGUAUACGGCAUGCAUAUUUUGAUAAUAAAUUAAGCUUUGAACCAUGCUGCACAGAACCAGUGGGAAGAUAUGCUCCGCCCGCACUUUUUAACUAAUUAUCUGUCCGUUGAACGUUCAGAUUUAUAGUUUGAGUAACUUGGUGGAACAUUAAAAGUUUGUUCAAAUUUUUUCUCUUUGUAAAUAAAUGAUUAGUAUAGUUAUUUAUAGUCAGUGUUUUCAGUCCUGCUCUCCAGACCCAUGAAACUUCUUCCUCGUUACAGAGACUUACACACAGCUCCUAUCACACUAUGAUCACCUUCAACCUAAUCGACUCAGCAUUGUCUAAACCUCUCGCAAUUAUACAUCAUCUUCCUUGUUAUUGUCAGAUCUACACCUCCAUCUUUUCCUUCCCAAUCAUCCUUCUUAAAAGUCAAUAUUCCUGAGUACUGAGUUCUCACCUUUGCUUUCUUUGCAGCGCAUCACUGACGCCAGCCUUCCCAUUAUCAUAUAUCCAGAAAAGUGCCGGGAAAAGGCCAGCAAUAUCAUGAAGGACCCUGCCCAAUCUGCUUAUGGACCGUUUGUCCCACUCCCAUCAGGGAAGAGGCUACAUGGUGUCCACGCCAGUACCACUAGACUUAAAAGUAGUUAUUUCACCCAAGCUAUCAGGACUGAUCAACACCUUCACCCAUUGGCCCAUCCCACCACCACUACACACACACACACACCACCUAGCAUGACUUUACAUACAUACAGUCUUCAUCCAUAACAUUGUGUUUUGUAGGAUGGCUUUCAUAUUUACAGAAUAUUUAUGGUUUUUCUAUUGUGUUUUCACUGUUUUUUGU
Mobula hypostoma (lesser devil ray) is the source of this 1768-nucleotide long non-coding RNA. RefSeq lists it as uncharacterized. The transcript is spliced from 4 exons. Lineage: Eukaryota; Metazoa; Chordata; Chondrichthyes; Myliobatiformes; Myliobatidae. The record is from RefSeq and is a predicted model, not a curated record.